CACGAAGCUAGUUGAGCUAACACAAUUUUCCCCACAUGUGGCAUAAUGUGGCGUAAAGUUGCGUUAGGGGUGAAAGGCCUUCCAAAUAUAGUGAUAUCUUGAUGUGAACGAGGCGGAUUGAGUACCAGGACGGUUACAAAGUUAUAAGAUUUUGUAAGAGACUUAAUGAUUAUGUGCAUGGCAUGUAGAUUUAAAAAUCCACACAAGAAACAAGCAAAUAUAAAUCGAAGAGGGUUUAUUAAUUUAGUUUACGGUAAUAAAAACUUGACUAUCGCUCAAAAUGUUAGCAUUAGUAUCUCUAAAGUAUUAAUAGUGAACUCGGCAAAAAAGCUUUCAACUGUUUAUCAAAAACAUAGCCGCAUGUCUCACAUGCGGUGUGUUCUGCUCAAUGACAUUUAAAUAGCCGCAGUACCCUGACUGUGCAAAGGUAGCGUAAUCAUUUGUCUUUUAAUUGAAGUCGUGUAUGAAUGAAUGCAUGGGGGCUUACUUUACCAUUUAUACUAACUGAAGUUACUCAAGAGGUGAAAAGACCUCUACGCAGAAAAUAGACGAGAAGACCCUUGAAAUUUAUAUAAAAAAUUUUGUUGGGGCAACAUAGUAAAUAAACAUACACAAUGUACAUGUCAUUUAUUUGUUUGAUGAAAUUACUCUAGGGAUAACAGCAUAAUUCUCUACUGAGUUUGUGACCUCGAUGUUGGAUUAGGGAACUAUAGCCUAAAA
This 720-nucleotide ribosomal RNA is filed under the name Torresitrachia sp. 'clade umb'. RNAcentral's name for it is "partial 16S ribosomal RNA". The stretch from base 243 to 535 matches the Rfam family "Archaeal large subunit ribosomal RNA", at positions 1786 to 2143 of the family's 2987-position model. The record is from RNAcentral. Lineage: Eukaryota; Metazoa; Mollusca; Gastropoda; Stylommatophora; Camaenidae.